UACAGAGGUCUCAAGCGUUGUUCGGAUUCAUUGGGCGUAAAGGGUGCGUAGGUGGCGAGGCAAGUCAGAUGUGAAAUCCCUGGGCUCAACCCAGGAACUGCAUUUGAAACUCCCUUUCUUGAGUGUCGGAGAGGAAAGUGGAAUUCCUGGUGUAGAGGUGAAAUUCGUAGAUAUCAGGAGGAACACCGGUGGCGAAGGCGGCUUUCUGGACGACAACUGACGCUGAGACGCGAAAGCGUGGGGAGCAAACAGG
This 253-nucleotide ribosomal RNA is filed under the name uncultured bacterium. RNAcentral's name for it is "partial 16S ribosomal RNA". It matches the Rfam family "Bacterial small subunit ribosomal RNA", at positions 524 to 776 of the family's 1533-position model. The record is from RNAcentral.